This 594-nucleotide ribosomal RNA is filed under the name uncultured bacterium. RNAcentral describes it as "bacterial SSU rRNA". It matches the Rfam family "Bacterial small subunit ribosomal RNA", at positions 8 to 577 of the family's 1533-position model. The record is from RNAcentral.
AGAGUUUGAUCAUGGCUCAGAAUAGACGCUAGCCUUUUACAUAACACAUGCUAGUUGAACGUGAAACAAAGGAAAAUUUGUUGAAAGUAGCGGACAGGUGAGUAACACGUAAGAAUUUACCAAUUAAAUGGGGCAAAUCCUCAAUAAAAUUUAAAAAUAAAGACAAAAGUCGUUAAUUGAUAAGCUUGCGGAGGAUUAGGUAGUUGGUGGGGUAAAGGCCUACCAAGCCGAUGAUCUUUAGCUGGUCUGGGAGGAUGAUCAGCCACAUUGGAACUGAGAUAAGGUCCAAGCUCCUACGGGAGGCAGCAGUGGGGAAUAUUGGACAAUGGGCGAAAGCUUGAUCCAGUAAAAAGGCGUGAAUGAAGAAGGUAAGAAGCUGUAAAGUUCUUUCAUUGAAAUGAUCUUAUAGAUAGUCUGUUAUAGGUUAAUAGCCUGUUAUAGGUUAAUAGCCCGUUAUAGGUUAACUGUAAGAUCAAAAAGAAGAAAAGACAUAAAUCAAAGAAGAAGUUCCGGCAAACUUCGUGCCAGCAGCCGCGGUAAUACGAAGGGAACUAGCGUGAUUCGGAAUGACUGGGCGUAAAGGGUGUGUAGGUG